UGGAGAGUUUGAUCCUGGCUCAGAAUGAACGCUGGCGGCGUGGAUUAGGCAUGCAAGUCGCGCGCGAAAGUCGGCUUCGGCCGGCGAGUAGAGCGGCGAACUGGUGAGUACAAGAUGGAUAACGUGCCCUCGAGUGGGGAAUAACCUCUGGAAACAGGGGCUAAUGCCGCAUGAGCCCGCCGGGACCUCGGUCCGGGCGGGGAAAGCAGCAGUGCGCUCGGGGAUCGGUCCAUCCCCCAUUAGCUAGUUGGUGAGGUAACGGCUCACCAAGGCGACGAUGGGUAGCUGGUCUGAGAGGAUGGUCAGCCACACUGGGACUGAGAUACGGCCCAGACUCCUACGGGGGGCAGCAGUCUAGAGGCUUCGGCAAUGGACGAAAGUCUGACCGAGCGACGCCGCGUGGAGGAUGAAGCCCUUCGGGGUGUAAACUCCUUUCGGGUGGGGAAAAGGCCCUGGUGGCGAACCAGGGAUUGAUCCUCCCGCCUAAAGAAGCCCCGGCUAACUCCGUGCCAGCAGCCGCGGUAAUACGGAGGGGGCGAGCGUUAUUCGGAUUUAUUGGGCGUAAAGGGCGCGCAGGCGGCUCAGCAAGUCUGAUGUGAAAUCUCCACAGCUCACCUGGGAGAGGCCAUUGGAAACUGCUGAGCUUGAGGUCCGGAGAGGCCGGCGGAAUUCCCGGUGUAGCGGUGGAAUGCGUAGAUAUCGGGAAGAACACCAGUGGCGAAGGCGGCCGGCUGGACGGCACCUGACGCUGAGGCGCGAAAGUGCGGGGAGCAAACGGGAUUAGAUACCCCGGUAGUCCGCACUGUAAACGUUGGACACUAGGUGUUGGGGGUAUCGACCCCUCCAGUGCCGCAGCUAACGCAUUAAGUGUCCCGCCUGGGGAGUACGGUCGCAAGGCUGAAACUCAAAGGAAUUGACGGGGGCCCGCACAAGCGGUGGAGCAUGUGGUUCAAUUCGACGCAACGCGAAGAACCUUACCUGGGUUCGAACGGUGGGGGAAAGUCUCUGGAAACAGGGACCCUCUUCGGACUCCCUCCGAGGUGCUGCAUGGCUGUCGUCAGCUCGUGUCGUGAGAUGUUGGGUUAAGUCCCGCAACGAGCGCAACCCUUGCCCUCAGUUACCAGCGGGUCACGCCGGGGACUCUGAGGGGACUGCUGCGGUAACGCAGAGGAAGGUGGGGAUGACGUCAAGUCCUCAUGGCCCUUACGCCCAGGGCUACACACGUGCUACAAUGGGACGGACAGAGAGUUGCAAGGCCGCGAGGCGGAGCUAAUCUCCAAACCGUCCCCCAGUUCGGAUCGGAGUCUGCAAUUCGACUCCGUGAAGCCGGAAUCGCUAGUAAUCGCGGAUCAGAACGCCGCGGUGAAUACGUUCCCGGGCCUUGUACACACCGCCCGUCACACCACGAAAGCUGGCUGUACCAGAAGUCGCUGUCGCAACCCGCAAGGGAGCAAGGUGCCGAAGGUGUGGUCGGUGAUUGGGGUGAAGUCGUAACAAGGUAGCCGUAGCGGAAGCUGCGGCUGGAUCACCUCCUUUCUAAGGAGA
This 1545-nucleotide ribosomal RNA is filed under the name Planctomycetaceae bacterium. RNAcentral describes it as "bacterial SSU rRNA". It matches the Rfam family "Bacterial small subunit ribosomal RNA". Lineage: Bacteria; Pseudomonadati; Planctomycetota; Planctomycetia; Planctomycetales; Planctomycetaceae. The record is from RNAcentral.